CACGAUAUAGCCAAGUUGGUAAGGCGAUGGUUUUUGAUAUCAUCACGCGUAGGUUCGAGUCCUACUAUCGGAA
Molecule: non-coding RNA, 73 nt
Organism: Dictyostelium discoideum
Lineage: Eukaryota; Evosea; Eumycetozoa; Dictyosteliales; Dictyosteliaceae
Source: Rfam